Molecule: non-coding RNA, 340 nt
Organism: Pelobates cultripes (western spadefoot toad)
Lineage: Eukaryota; Metazoa; Chordata; Amphibia; Anura; Pelobatidae
Source: the annotation of a GenBank genome assembly
GCCGAAGUAGGAGGGUGGUGCUACCAUAACAGCACACAAGCCUUUAUACGGAGCCAGUGUUUUCUAUAUACAGGCUCCUUGAAAUACAUGUACCCCAUAUUUUACCAUUGAAUGAGACUACGUUUUGGUAAGAUUUAUCUGUGUUUGAGCGCUCCACUUAUAGGUGUAGGUCCUUGUCACUUACACCGCACCAAUAUCUACUAAAUUUAUUCAGUGGAAUAGAGGAUAUUUCCACACUAGUGUAUUGAGCUGCCUGUAAAUCACUUUUUGACUCUUUUGAGCACUUUUGUUAUACACACUCCUCUGUAAAAAGAGGCAACCUUUGAUUGGUAUUCAUACA